Molecule: long non-coding RNA, 1509 nt
Organism: Oxyura jamaicensis (ruddy duck)
Lineage: Eukaryota; Metazoa; Chordata; Aves; Anseriformes; Anatidae
Exons: 4
Source: RefSeq, a predicted model, not a curated record
UUUUUAGCUGAAAAAUUCUCCUUGAACUCUGAAAACCCAUUUAAUUCUACAUAGAGGUAGAAGACUAGAGUUUUGAUAUUUGGAGGAACUGAAUGUUGAAGAUGGUUGAAAAUUCAGACAGUUUCAGCUUUAAAGGCCAUUACAAACAUCUCCUCUGCAAUGUACUCCUCUGCAUCAUAUGGGUGUCAGAGAAUCAGACCAGGCAAAACUCCCAUUAAAGUAAAUGAAAGUUGUGCCUGUGUAAAGGCAUCUGUAACCCAAUAAAGGUGAAAUGAGAGCCACUCUUUCAUCACUUUAUUAGCAGAAGCAAGAGUUGUCCUGCAGAAUGCAUCUUAAAAAACAAAACAAAACAAAACAAAAAAACUCAGAACAUACCAGCUAAUCAAGAAUAGGACAAUGUGUAUUUAUUGCUUAUCUUUACCAGACAAUGUACCAUUAACAAUCCAGAGUUUUGUCACUUGGAGACAUCCAACAUCUUUAUCAGUAAAGCCUGUACUCUUCUGCUUACUCAUGAGGCCUGCUCUGCCUAUGACUUCACUACAAGUUGCAGACACUUAGCUGGACUUUUGACACUUGAUGGCUCUUUAUAAAUGUAAUGAAUAGGUCUUGGCAAAUUUCUUGUGGAAACUAUUUCAAGAACAGGUAAGCAAAAAAGAAAAGGACAUGGAUUCAAGAAAGAGAAGGAAGACAGAGGUUACAGAAAUAAGAAAUUUCCACAGAAAAGAUAAAACUCUUCUUUCUCUUAAAAGAAACAUUUGAAAAUGAGAUUUUGCUAAAAAUACUACUGACAGCAUACAAAGGAACCUGCUGUCUCAUGCUAAGCUGCAGCAGAAUGUUCUGAACCCCAUGACCAAUAAAAACUUCUCUCUUUUGAUUCUUCCAUGGGUUCUUGUUUUGAAUAGUCACUGAUACUGUCAUAUUCCCCUUCUAAAAAUGUCACAGGGACUCUUGGAAGAAAAGCAUUCAAGUUCAUCUUCAUACUAAGCAAUGACAGUUCUUACAUUGGGAACCCUUCGUGGUACCUUGGUAUCUCUGUGAUUAUUGUGAUGUCUAUGCCAUUAAUGUUAUACUGUUUUUAGAGAUGAAUAUAAUAGAACAUAUAAAUCAAGUAGAAUAGCUUUGGGAAUUUUAAAUAAAUAAACACAUAAACCUGGGGAACUGCUGAAUUAGCUAAAAUAAAACACAAAUCAAAUUAGGAGUACAAUUCUCUAGAGGACAACUGAGGUCAAUCUGUUCUGUUUCCCAUGGUUAAAAUAAUGAGUUAAUACAGAACAGUCUAUGUGAGAUGUAUUUCAUAUGCAACCACACAUCACAUAAAAACAACAACAAAAAUGCAGUUAUCCAGAAGCCUUUUAUGAACUUCAUGUAGAUAACAAAUGAUCAAAAUCCAUGACUGUAUUGACAUGAAAUUAUGGAGAAGGCGAGAUCUCUUAUCAGUCGUUAACUAACAUCAGUGCCUUUCCUAAAUGAGAAGAAAGGCAAUUUUAUUUGCAGAAAUUCCUAGAUGAU